ACAACAGCAUUCCUGACCUCUGAGCCGCUCAAAAUGCUAAGAUGUUUCUGAAGGUGAAAUGGACACCUCACGCAGAUUCCCGGGGUGGUUACGGUUCCCAGCUAUGCGCUGCCUCCCCGUUUUGUCGCGGUGUUUGUUCCAAACCAGAGAGGUCUUGACAGCUGAAGAAGAGGAACUAAGGCCAACCGAGAAAUAUCCGAGAUUGUCUUCUCAUGAUGAUGCUUAAGGCUCAUAGCUGAGAUGAAUCUCCAAACUUCCUUCUUUUACAAAGUACUUGUGAGACAAUGAUGACAAGUAGAAUCUGUGAAAUCUCUAACCAACUGGAGAAGUCUCUUCUUACGUGCAUAGAAAGAAAAAUAUCAAAAUAAGGAGUGUCCAGAAGCUGUCAUGCUAGCAAGAGCUGGAGCUUAUGCUGGAUACACAGGAAAUACAGAUGAGUAAGGAAUCAGGCUCAGUCAAACAGCACUUGCCUUUUCAAGCAGAAGUGCAUGUGAGAGACCCUCACUGAUUUGGGAGCAAGGUGAGGAGGAAGGUCUUCUACAAAUGCACAAAAGUGACCAUGAUAGAACGAGAUGGUUUCACCGACCUGCCAAGUUCAGAGAGAAGAUGAUGCAUGAUCAUCAGGAGAGUACCAGCCUCAGGACCCGACAAAGCAGGUUUCUCCAGGAGCUUCGCACUGAGGGCUAAAGAUGCUCGCACCGCUAUCUGGCCCAAGCACAAGAAGGAAGAUUUCAGCUGCACACUGCUGGGUUCUCCAUCCCCUGCUGUUGACAACACCUUCAGCCCAUCUUCCGCCACCUUUCCUACUUUGCUCCUGCAGGGCAAGGAACAACUCAGAGUUCCUUCAACAGAAGGGGAGCUUCUGUUCUUCAACACGUCAUGCUCCUUCACCACAGGAGAAAAUGACAGUGCUGCCCCCACAUCUAGAACCCUCUCUGAUCAUUUCCUGCCCUGUGUCUGGAAGCCAAAAAUGUAUGAUUAAGAACAUGACUCUGAAAUAAAACACGUUGGCUCUGAAGCUGACUUUCCCUACUAACUUUAUGAUCUCGGAUGACGUAUUUAGAUGUCCUAACCUCAACUUCCUCAUCCGUAAAAUGAGCAUAAUGGUAUUAUUUACCUCAUAAAGUCAUGAUGAGAAUUGCAUGACAUGAUGAACAAAAAAUAUUCAGCCUACAGUCUGGCACAUAUAAAGUACUAAUUAACGUUUGUCAAACAAAUUGAAUAACUGGGUCCUGACACAUCCAGUUUCCUCGUAUUGGAAAGCCACUCCCUCUGCCAUCUGUGUGGCAAACUCCUACUGACCCUGCAAAACCUAGACUGAGUGACUGGGGUUAUUACAGAGAAAGUAACCUCUCACUGUAUCUGCUUCAAUAGCCAGAAUGUAUUGUUAGGUGAGAAAAGCAAAGUGCUUAACAGUGUAUAUGGCACUGUUUGUAAAAGAAAGUUAUGUUAACUUUUGUGUAGAAAGAAGGGCAAA
Long non-coding RNA from Lynx canadensis (Canada lynx), 1477 nucleotides. RefSeq lists it as uncharacterized. Lineage: Eukaryota; Metazoa; Chordata; Mammalia; Carnivora; Felidae. The record is from RefSeq and is a predicted model, not a curated record. The transcript is spliced from 4 exons.